GACGAACGCUGGCGGCGUGCUUAACACAUGCAAGUCGAACGGAAAGGCCCUGCUUUUGUGGGGUGCUCGAGUGGCGAACGGGCGAGUAACACGUGAGUAACCUGCCCUUGACUUUGGGAUAACUUCAGGAAACUGGGGCUAAUACCGGAUAGGAGCUCCUGCUGCAUGGUGGGGGUUGGAAAGUUUCGGCGGUUGGGGAUGGACUCGCGGCUUAUCAGCUUGUUGGUGGGGUAGUGGCUUACCAAGGCUUUGACGGGUAGCCGGCCUGAGAGGGUGACCGGCCACAUUGGGACUGAGAUACGGCCCAGACUCCUACGGGAGGCAGCAGUGGGGAAUAUUGCACAAUGGGCGGAAGCCUGAUGCAGCAACGCCGCGUGCGGGAUGACGGCCUGCGGGUUGUAAACCGCUUUCGCCUGUGACGAAGCGUGAGUGACGGUAAUGGGUAAAGAAGCACCGGCUAACUACGUG
This 468-nucleotide ribosomal RNA is filed under the name uncultured bacterium. RNAcentral describes it as "partial 16S ribosomal RNA". It matches the Rfam family "Bacterial small subunit ribosomal RNA", at positions 28 to 507 of the family's 1533-position model. The record is from RNAcentral.